Molecule: ribosomal RNA, 389 nt
Filed under: Pyrococcus sp. V72
Lineage: Archaea; Methanobacteriati; Methanobacteriota; Thermococci; Thermococcales; Thermococcaceae
Description: partial 16S ribosomal RNA
Rfam family: Archaeal small subunit ribosomal RNA
Source: RNAcentral
GGGCGCAGCAGGCGCUAAACCUCCGCAAUGCGGGAAACCGCGACGGGGGGACCCCCAGUGCCGUGCCUCUGGCACGGCUUUUCCGGAGUGUAAAAAGCUCCGGGAAUAAGGGCUGGGCAAGGCCGGUGGCAGCCGCCGCGGUAAUACCGGCGGCCCGAGUGGUGGCCACUAUUAUUGGGCCUAAAGCGGCCGUAGCCGGGCCCGUAAGUCCCUGGCGAAAUCCCACGGCUCAACCGUGGGGCUCGCUGGGGAUACUGCGGGCCUUGGGACCGGGAGAGGCCGGGGGUACCCCCGGGGUAGGGGUGAAAUCCUAUAAUCCCGGGGGGACCGCCAGUGGCGAAGGCGCCCGGCUGGAACGGGUCCGACGGUGAGGGCCGAAGGCCAGGGGA